GCCUUUUGGGGGCUGCUUUAACAUGCAAGUCGAACGGUAACAGGGUGCUUGCACCGCUGACGAGUGGCGAACGGGUGAGUAAUGCAUCGGAAUGUACCGUGUAAUGGGGGAUAGCUCGGCGAAAGCCGGAUUAAUACCGCAUACGCCCUGAGGGGGAAAGUGGGGGACCGAAAGGCCUCACGUUAUACGAGCAGCCGAUGUCUGAUUAGCUAGUUGGUGGGGUAAAGGCUCACCAAGGCGACGAUCAGUAGCGGGUCUGAGAGGAUGAUCCGCCACACUGGGACUGAGACACGGCCCAGACUCCUACGGGAGGCAGCAGUGGGGAAUUUUGGACAAUGGGCGCAAGCCUGAUCCAGCCAUGCCGCGUGUCUGAAGAAGGCCUUCGGGUUGUAAAGGACUUUUGUCCGGGAGCAAAUCCCAGUGGUUAACACCUACUGGGGCUGAGAGUACCGGAAGAAUAAGCACCGGCUAACUACGUGCCAGCAGCCGCGGUAAUACGUAGGGUGCAAGCGUUAAUCGGAAUUACUGGGCGUAAAGCGUGCGCAGGCGGUUGUGCAAGUCUGAUGUGAAAGCCCCGGGCUUAACCUGGGAACGGCAUUGGAGACUGCACGACUAGAGUGCGUCAGAGGGGGGUAGAAUUCCGCGUGUAGCAGUGAAAUGCGUAGAGAUGCGGAGGAAUACCGAUGGCGAAGGCAGCCCCCUGGGAUGACACUGACGCUCAUGCACGAAAGCGUGGGGAGCAAACAGGAUUAGAUACCCUGGUAGUCCACGCCCUAAACGAUGUCAACUAGCUGUUGGGGGUUUGAAUCCUUGGUAGCGAAGCUAACGCGAGAAGUUGACCGCCUGGGGAGUACGGCCGCAAGGUUAAAACUCAAAGGAAUUGACGGGGACCCGCACAAGCGGUGGAUGAUGUGGAUUAAUUCGAUGCAACGCGAAAAACCUUACCUGGUCUUGACAUGUAACGAACGCUGCAGAGAUGUGUGGUGCCCGAAAGGGAGCGUUAACACAGGUGCUGCAUGGCUGUCGUCAGCUCGUGUCGUGAGAAUGUUGGGUUUAAGUCCCGCAACGAGCGCACCCUUGCCAUUAGUGCCAUUCAUAGUUGGCACUCUAAUGGGACUGCCGGUGACAACGGAGAGUGGGGAAUGACGUCAAGUCUCAUGCCUUAUGACCAGGCCUUUCACACGUCCAUAACCAAUUG
Molecule: ribosomal RNA, 1198 nt
Filed under: Chromobacterium haemolyticum
Lineage: Bacteria; Pseudomonadati; Pseudomonadota; Betaproteobacteria; Neisseriales; Chromobacteriaceae
Description: bacterial SSU rRNA
Rfam family: Bacterial small subunit ribosomal RNA
Source: RNAcentral